AGUUCGGAUUGUAGGCUGAAACUCGCCUACAUGAAGCUGGAGUUACUAGUAAUCGCAGAUCAGAAUGCUGCGGUGAAUGCGUUCCCGGGUCUUGUACACACCGCCCGUCACACCACGGGAGUUGGAGCGUCACACCACGGGAGUUGGAGACGCCCGAAGCCGAUUAUCUAACCUUUUGGAAGAAGUCGUCGAAGGUGGAAUCAAUAACUGGGGUGAAGUCGUAACAAGGUAGCCGUAUCGGAAGGUGCGGCUGG
RNAcentral lists this ribosomal RNA (254 nucleotides) under Clostridioides difficile. Its description in RNAcentral is "partial 16S ribosomal RNA". It matches the Rfam family "Bacterial small subunit ribosomal RNA", at positions 1290 to 1521 of the family's 1533-position model. The record is from RNAcentral. Lineage: Bacteria; Bacillati; Bacillota; Clostridia; Peptostreptococcales; Peptostreptococcaceae.